This 207-nucleotide ribosomal RNA is filed under the name Triticum aestivum (bread wheat). Its description in RNAcentral is "partial small subunit ribosomal RNA". The record is from RNAcentral. Lineage: Eukaryota; Viridiplantae; Streptophyta; Magnoliopsida; Poales; Poaceae.
AUGACCGCAAGGAUCGUCCAGGAGGAAGAGAGGAUCAUGAGGCAGAAGAAAGACAAUGUUUUUCAUGUUGGCUCUAACAAGAGAAAGCAUGACGGGCAAGGUUUUCCCAAGCCUCAGAAAAAGCAAGUCAAGAAAGAAGGCACUAAGCCAUUCAACCCUAAGGCAUUCAAGGGUAAAAGAAGCCGGCAGUUCUUCUUUUGCUCCUAG